GCCGGGUGUGGUGGCGCGUGCCUGUAGUCCCAGCUACUUGGGAGGCUGAGGUGGGAGGAUUGCUUGAGCCCAGGAGUUCUGGGCUGUAGUGCGCUAUGCCAUUUGGGUAUCUGCACUAAAUUAGGCAUCAAUAUGGUGACCUCCUGGGAGUAGGGGACCACCAGGUUGCCUAAGGAGGGGUGAACUGGCCCAGGUUGGAAACGGAGCAGGUCAAAACUCCCGUGCUGAUCAAUAGUGGGAUCGUGCCUGUGAAUAGCCACCGCACUCCAGCCUGAGCAACAUAGCGAGGCUCCGUCUCU
Molecule: signal recognition particle RNA, 299 nt
Filed under: Cebus imitator (Panamanian white-faced capuchin)
Lineage: Eukaryota; Metazoa; Chordata; Mammalia; Primates; Cebidae
Description: Metazoan signal recognition particle RNA (ENSCCAG00000009567.1)
Rfam family: Metazoan signal recognition particle RNA
About the family: The signal recognition particle (SRP) is a universally conserved ribonucleoprotein. It is involved in the co-translational targeting of proteins to membranes.
Source: RNAcentral